GACUAACGCUGGUGGUGUGUCUAAGCCAUGCAAGUCGAGCGCACCGCAAGGGUUUUAUUACGCUUACGGUACGCGGCGGACGGGUGAGUAACGCGUGAGUAACCUGCCUCAAAGUUGGGGAUAGCCUUGAGAAAUCAAGGAUAAUACCGAAUUAAGCCUUAGUCGUAAAGAUUAUCGGUUAAAGAUGGCCUCUGCUUGCAAGCUAUCGCUUUGAGAGGGGCUCGCGUCCCAUUAGCUUGUUUGUGAGAUAAAAGCUCACAAAGGCAAUGAUGGGUAGCCGGCUUGAGAGGGUGACCGGCCACGCUGGGACUGAGAACGGCCCAGGCUCCUACGGGAGGCAGCAGGCUAGAAAUUUGGCCAAUGGACGAAAGUCUGAGCCAGCGACACCACUUGGGGGAUAUGAAGGCCUUCGGGUUGUAAACCCCUGUCAAAAAGGAAGAAGAUCUGGAAGUCGAAUAAACUUUCAGGUUGACGGUACUUUUAAUAGGAAGCCACGGCUAAUUCCGUGCCAGCAGCCGCGGUAAAACGGAAGUGGCUAGCGUUGUCCGAAAUUACUGGGCGUAAAGCGGGCGUAGGCGGGUUACUAAGUUGGAUGUGAAAACUAGCUGCUCAACGGCUGGCCUGCAUUCAAAACUAGUUACCUUGAGUCUGACAGAGGGGAGCGGAACUUCUGGUGUAGCGGUGGAAUGCGUAGAUAUCAGAAGGAACACCAAAGGCGAAGGCAGCUCUCUGGGUCAAGACUGACGCUGAGGUCCGAAAGCUAGGGUAGCGAACGGGAUUAGAUACCCCGGUAGUCCUAGCCGUAAACGUUGGGCACUUGACGUGGGCGAUUUAGUCUGCGUCGUAGCUAACGUGAUAAGUGCCCCGCCUGGGGAGUACGUUCGCAAGGAUG
This 892-nucleotide ribosomal RNA is filed under the name uncultured bacterium. RNAcentral's name for it is "bacterial SSU rRNA". It matches the Rfam family "Bacterial small subunit ribosomal RNA", at positions 28 to 896 of the family's 1533-position model. The record is from RNAcentral.